Molecule: ribosomal RNA, 292 nt
Filed under: uncultured bacterium
Lineage: Bacteria
Description: partial 16S ribosomal RNA
Rfam family: Bacterial small subunit ribosomal RNA
Source: RNAcentral
GUGUCAGCAGCCGCGGUAAUACGAAGGGUGCAAGCGUUAAUCGGAAUUACUGGGCGUAAAGCGCGCGUAGGUGGUUCAGUAAGUUGGAAGUGAAAUCCCCGGGCUCAACCUGGGAACUGCUUUCAAAACUGCUGAGCUAGAGUACGGUAGAGGGUGGUGGAAUUUCCUGUGUAGCGGUGAAAUGCGUAGAUAUAGGAAGGAACACCAGUGGCGAAGGCGACCACCUGGACUGAUACUGACACUGAGGUGCGAAAGCGUGGGGAGCAAACAGGAUUAGAAACCCGAGUAGUCC